This 254-nucleotide ribosomal RNA is filed under the name uncultured bacterium. Its description in RNAcentral is "partial 16S ribosomal RNA". It matches the Rfam family "Bacterial small subunit ribosomal RNA", at positions 524 to 776 of the family's 1533-position model. The record is from RNAcentral.
UACGAACCGUGCGAGCGUUAUUCGGAAUCAUUGGGCUUAAAGGGCGCGCAGGCGGCGGUGUAAGUUGGAAGUGAAAUCCCAUCGGCUCAACCGUGGAAUUGCUCCCAGUACUGCAUCGCUCGAGGGGGAUAGGGGUUUGCGGAACUACCGGUGGAGCGGUGAAAUGUGUUGAUAUCGGUGGGAACGCCAGUGGCGAAGGCGGCAAACUGGACCCUUCCUGACGCUGAGGCGCGAAAGCUAGGGGAGCAAACGGG